Molecule: ribosomal RNA, 441 nt
Filed under: uncultured bacterium
Lineage: Bacteria
Description: bacterial SSU rRNA
Rfam family: Bacterial small subunit ribosomal RNA
Source: RNAcentral
UACGGGAGGCAGCAGUGGGGAAUAUUGCACAAUGGGCGCAAGCCUGAUGCAGCCAUGCCGCGUGUAUGAAGAAGGCCUUCGGGUUGUAAAGUACUUUCAGUCGUGAGGAAGGUGUUAAGGUUAAUAACCUUAGCAAUUGACGUUAGCGACAGAAGAAGCACCGGCUAACUCCGUGCCAGCAGCCGCGGUAAUACGGAGGGUGCGAGCGUUAAUCGGAAUUACUGGGCGUAAAGGGCACGCAGGCGGUUAAUUAAGUUGGAUGUGAAAUCCCCGGGGCUUAACCUGGGAAUGGCAUUCAAGACUGGUUAGCUAGAGUCUUGUAGAGGGGGUUAGAAUUCCAUGUGUAGCGGUGAAAUGCGUAGAGAUGUGGAGGAAUACCGGUGGCGAAGGCGGCCCCUGGACAAAGACUGACGCUCAUGUGCGAAAGCGUGGGGAGCAAAC